This 254-nucleotide ribosomal RNA is filed under the name uncultured bacterium. Its description in RNAcentral is "partial 16S ribosomal RNA". It matches the Rfam family "Bacterial small subunit ribosomal RNA", at positions 524 to 776 of the family's 1533-position model. The record is from RNAcentral.
UACGGAGGGGGCUAGCGUUGUUCGGAAUUACUGGGCGUAAAGGGCGCGUAGGCGGCGCGAUAAGUUGGGCGUGAAAGGCCCGGGCUCAACCCGGGGACUGCGCUUGAUACUGUCGUGCUGUGAGUCCGGGAGAGGAUGGCGGAAUUCCCAGUGUAGAGGUGAAAUUCGUAGAUAUUGGGAAGAACACCGGUGGCGAAGGCGGCCAUCUGGACCGGCACUGACGCUGAGGCGCGAAAGCGUGGGGAGCAAACAGG